Molecule: transfer RNA, 61 nt
Filed under: Camelus bactrianus (Bactrian camel)
Lineage: Eukaryota; Metazoa; Chordata; Mammalia; Artiodactyla; Camelidae
Also listed under: 2 other names
Rfam family: tRNA
About the family: Transfer RNA (tRNA) molecules are approximately 80 nucleotides in length. Their secondary structure includes four short double-helical elements and three loops (D, anti-codon, and T loops).
Source: Rfam by way of RNAcentral
UGUAGCUCAGUGGUAGAGUGUGUGCUUAGCAUGCACAAAAUCCUGGGUUUAAUCCCUGGUA